UAUGGUCAAGAAGAGAAGCGCAAACGGUGGAUGCCUUGGCAGUAAGAGGCGAAGAAGGACGUGGUAUUCUGCGAAAAGCCUGGGGGAGCUGAAAACGAGCGUUGAACCUGGGAUGUCCGAAUGGGGUAACCCGGCUAAUUUAUUAGUCAUUCAUACUUGAAUACAUAGGGUAUGGAAGCGAACUUGGGGAACUGAAACAUCUAAGUACCCAAAGGAAAAGAAAUCAAGAGAGAUUCUCUUAGUAGCGGCGAGCGAACGGGGAGGAGCCUGGCGUGAUUUAGCGUUGAUGUGAGUGGAAUUAUCUGGGAAGGUAAGCCGGAGAGGGUGAAGGCCCCGUACACGAAGCAUUGAUGUAGAACUAGGCACGCGGAGAAGUAGGCCGGAACACGCGAAAUUCUGGUUGAAGAUGGGUGGACCAUCAUCCAAGGCUAAAUACUCCUUACUGACCGAUAGUGAACGAGUACCGUGAGGGAAAGGUGAAAAGAACCCCGGAGAGGGGAGUGAAAUAGACCUGAAACCGUUUGCGUACAAGCAGUGGGAGCCUGACUUAGGUUAGGUGACUGCGUACCUUUUGUAUAAUGGGUCAGCGAGUUACUUUCAGUGGCGAGGUUAACCGGAUAGGGGAGCCGUAGAGAAAUCGAGUUUGAAUAGAGCGAUAGUCGCUGGGAGUAGACCCGAAACCGGGCGAUCUAGCCAUGUGCAGGAUGAAGGUUGGGUAACACCAACUGGAGGUCCGAACCGGGUAAUGUUGAAAAAUUAUCGGAUGACGUGUGGCUAGGAGUGAAAGGCUAAUCAAGCCCGGAGAUAGCUGGUUCUCCCCGAAAGCUAUUUAGGUAGCGCCUCGUGGGUUGAUUACUGGGGGUAGAGCACUGUUUCGGCUAGGGGGCUGUCAUGGCUUACCAAACCGAUGCAAACUCCGAAUACCGGAUAAUUGGACCACGGGAGACACACGGCGGGUGCUAACGUCCGUCGUGGAGAGGGAAACAACCCAGACCGCCAGCUAAGGUCCCGAAGUAUGAUUAAGUGGGAAACGAUGUGGGAAGGCAUAGACAGCCAGGAGGUUGGCUUAGAAGCAGCCAUCCUUUAAAGAAAGCGUAAUAGCUCACUGGUCGAGUCGGCCUGCGCGGAAGAUGUAACGGGGCUAAAAUCAUACACCGAAGCUGCGGAUGUGUAGUGAUACACGUGGUAGGGGAGCGUUCUGUAGGCCGAUGAAGGUUGACUGAGAAGUGAGCUGGAGGUAUCGGAAGUGCGAAUGCUGACAUGAGUAACGAUAAAGAGGGUGAAAAACCCUCUCGCCGGAAGUCUAAGGAUUCCUGCACGACGCUAAUCGGAGCAGGGUGAGUCGGCCCCUAAGGCGAGGCAGAGAUGCGUAGUCGAUGGGAACCAGGUUAAUAUUCCUGGACUUUCUGUAAGUGGUGAAGUGGGGACGAAGGAGGCUAGGUGAGCCGGGCGAUGGUUGUCCUGGUACUUGCAUGUAGGCGGAGAGACUUGGCAAAUCCGGUUUCUUGUUAACGCUGAGGUGCGAAGUGGUUCUGGCAUUUCGAUGCGCAGAGAAGUCACUGAUGCCAUGCUUCCAGGAAAAGCUGCUAGCCAUAACUUACGGAGAACCGUACCGCAAACCGACACAGGUAGACAGGUAGAGAAUACCAAGGCGCUUGAGAGAACUCGGGUGAAGGAACUAGGCAAAAUGGUACCGUAACUUCGGGAGAAGGUACGCCUUUGCUGGUGAAUUGCUUUACGUAAUGAGCUGGUGGAGGCCGCAGAGACCAGGUGGCUGCGACUGUUUAUUAAAAACACAGCACUCUGCAAAUUCGUAAGAAGACGUAUAGGGUGUGACGCCUGCCCGGUGCCGGAAGGUUAAUUGAUGCUGUUAUCCUGCCACCGGAUUGCUUGUAGAUGAAGGUGAACGACGACGAGUAAUGCGGUGGCAGGAGAAGCGGUUGAUCGAAGCCCCGGUAAACGGCGGCCGUAACUAUAACGGUCCUAAGGUAGCGAAAUUCCUUGUCGGGUAAGUUCCGACCUGCACGAAUGGCGUAACGAUGGCCACACUGUCUCCACCCGAGACUCAGUGAAAUUGAAAUCGCUGUGAAGAUGCAGUGUACCCGCGGCUAGACGGAAAGACCCCGUGAACCUUUACUACAGCUUUGCACUGGACUUUGAUGAUGACUGUGUAGGAUAGGUGGGAGGCUAUGAAGUGCGAACGCCAGUUUGCAUGGAGCCGACCUUGAAAUACCACCCUGUUGUUAUUGAGGUUCUAACUUAGGCCCGUAAUCCGGGUUGAGGACAGUGUAUGGUGGGUAGUUUGACUGGGGCGGUCUCCUCCCAAAGAGUAACGGAGGAGCACAAAGGUACCCUCGGUACGGUCGGACAUCGUACCAAGAGUGUAAAGGCAUAAGGGUGCUUGACUGCGAGACGGACGUGUCGAGCAGGAACGAAAGUUGGUCUUAGUGAUCCGGUGGUUCUGAAUGGAAGGGCCAUCGCUCAACGGAUAAAAGGUACUCCGGGGAUAACAGGCUGAUACCGCCCAAGAGUUCAUAUCGACGGCGGUGUUUGGCACCUCGAUGUCGGCUCAUCACAUCCUGGGGCUGAAGCAGGUCCCAAGGGUAUGGCUGUUCGCCAUUUAAAGUGGUACGCGAGCUGGGUUUAGAACGUCGUGAGACAGUUCGGUCCCUAUCUGCCGUGGGCGUAGGAAAAUUGAGAGGGGCUGCUCCUAGUACGAGAGGACCGGAGUGGACGAACCUCUGGUGCGCCGGUUGUCACGCCAGUGGCAUGGCCGGGUAGCUAAGUUCGGACGGGAUAACCGCUGAAAGCAUCUAAGCGGGAAGCCUUCCUCAAGAUGAGUUUUCCCUUGAAGCCCGUUGAAGACGACGACGUUGAUAGGCGAGGUGUGGAAGCGCAGUAAUGUGUGAAGCUAACUCGUACUAAUUGGCUGAUUGUCUUGACCAUA
This 2947-nucleotide ribosomal RNA is filed under the name Legionella israelensis DSM 19235. RNAcentral's name for it is "23S rRNA. Bacterial LSU". It matches the Rfam family "Bacterial large subunit ribosomal RNA". The record is from RNAcentral. Lineage: Bacteria; Pseudomonadati; Pseudomonadota; Gammaproteobacteria; Legionellales; Legionellaceae.